This 84-nucleotide transfer RNA is filed under the name Ixodes scapularis (black-legged tick). Its description in RNAcentral is "tRNA-Ser". The stretch from base 11 to 77 matches the Rfam family "tRNA", at positions 8 to 63 of the family's 71-position model. Rfam says of the family: Transfer RNA (tRNA) molecules are approximately 80 nucleotides in length. Their secondary structure includes four short double-helical elements and three loops (D, anti-codon, and T loops). The record is from RNAcentral. Lineage: Eukaryota; Metazoa; Arthropoda; Arachnida; Ixodida; Ixodidae.
CCCGCAGUCGUGGCCGAGGGGUUAAGGCGAUGGACUAGAAAUCCAUUGGGAUCUUCCCGCACAGGUUCGAAUCCUUUUCCGGGG